RNAcentral lists this ribosomal RNA (2905 nucleotides) under human gut metagenome. RNAcentral's name for it is "bacterial LSU rRNA". It matches the Rfam family "Bacterial large subunit ribosomal RNA". The record is from RNAcentral.
GAAAGUAGGAAAGGGCGCAUGGCGGAUGCCUUGGCUCUCGGAGGCGAUGAAGGACGUGAUAAGCUGCGAUAAGUCACGGGGAGGUGCAAAUAACCUUUGAUCCGUGAAUCUCCGAAUGGGACAACCCGAUAUCCUGAAGGGAUAUCACCUCAUCUAGUUGAGGAGCUAACGCAGGGAACUGAAACAUCUUAGUACCUGCAGGAAAAGAAAAUAACAAUGAUUCCCCCAGUAGUGGCGAGCGAACGGGGAAGAGCCCAAACCAUUCAUGUUACGGCAUGAAUGGGGUUGUAGGACCACGGCGUUGCAAGAACUCUUGUGAGAAGAACAGCCUGGAAAGGCUGACCACAGACGGUGACAGUCCGGUAUUCGAAGCAAGACGAAGCAUAGUGGUAUCCUGAGUAACGCGGAACACGAGGAAUUCUGCGUGAAUCUGCCGGGACCAUCCGGUAAGGCUAAAUACUCCCGAGAGACCGAUAGUGGACCAGUACCGUGAGGGAAAGGUGAAAAGCACUUCGAACAGAAGAGUGAAAUAGUACCUGAAACCGUGCGCCUACAAGCGGUCGGAGCACGAAAGUGUGACGGCGUGCCUUUUGCAUAAUGAACCUACGAGUUACCGUAUCUGGCAAGGUUAAGGGUCACGAGACCUGCAGCCGAAGCGAAAGCGAGUCUGAAGAGGGCGUCGAGUCAGUUGCGGUAGACGCGAAACCAAGUGAUCUACCCUUGGCCAGGAUGAAGUCUGGGUAACACCAGAUGGAGGUCCGCACCAAUAAGCGUUGAAAAGCUUCUGGAUGAGCUGAGGGUAGGGGUGAAAGGCUAAUCAAACUUGGAGAUAGCUCGUACUCCCCGAAAUGCAUUUAGGUGCAGCCUCGCGGGUUACUGAUGUGAGGUAGAGCGACUGAUUGGAUGCGAGGGCUUCACCGCCUAUCAAGUCCUGACAAACUCCGAAUGCGCAUCAGUUUUACCGCGGGAGUGAGGGCAUGGGUGCUAAGGUCCGUGCCCGAGAGGAGAAGAAUCCGGACUAUCAGCUAAGGCCCCGAAAUGACAGCUAAGUUAAACUAACGAAGUCUGAUUGCUAAGACAGCUAGGAUGUUGGCUUGGAAGCAGCCAUUCAUUUAAAGAGUGCGUAACAGCUCACUAGUCGAGGAAUCGGGCGUGGAUAAUAAUCGGGUAUGAAGUUGUCUGCCGAAGCUAUAGAAUCAGCAAUGAUUGGUAGGGGAGCAUUCCAUUCCGCGUAGAAGGCGUGGCGUGAGCCAUUCUGGAGCGUAUGGAAAAGCAAAUGUAGGUAUAAGUAACGAUAAAGGGGGUGGGAAACCCCCUCGCCGAAAGACUAAGGUUUCCUGAUCAACGCUAAUCGGAUCAGGGUAAGUCGGGUCCUAAGGCUCAGCCGAACGGCGAUGCCGAUGGCAGAAACGGUUAAUAUUCCGUUACUACCUUUGAGGGUGACGUGGGGACGCAGGAGUGACACCGCCGCCGGCUGACGGAAUAGCCGGUUAAAGAGUGUAGACGUAGAUUUCCGCAGGCAAAUCCACGGAAAGAGUCGAACUUGACAGUAUGGAACGUCCUUCGGGACAAUCCAAUAGUGCGGGUAAGCAGACUGCCGAGAAAAUCCGCUAAACAUAACUUCAGAGGUACCCGUACCGCAAACGGACACACGUAGUCGGGUUGAAUAUACUAAGGCGCUUGAGUGAUUCACGGUUAAGGAACUAGGCAAACUGACCCUGUAACUUCGGGAUAAAGGGUCCCUACCCAGAAAUGGGAGGGCGCAGAGAAUAGGUCCAGGCAACUGUUUAACAAAAACACAGGGCUGUGCCAAUAUGAAAGUAGACGUAUACAGCCUGACACCUGCCCGGUGCUGGAAGGUUAAGAGGAGAUGUCAUCGCAAGAGAAGCAUUGAAUUGAAGCCCCAGUAAACGGCGGCCGUAACUAUAACGGUCCUAAGGUAGCGAAAUUCCUUGUCGGGUAAGUUCCGACCCGCACGAAAGGCGUAAUGAUUUGGGCACUGUCUCGACAAUGCACCCGGUGAAAUUGAAAUACCAGUGAAGAUGCUGGUUACCUGCGCCAGGACGGAAAGACCCCAUGGAGCUUUACUCCAGCUUGAUACUGGGAUUCGAUACUGUAUGUACAGGAUAGGUGGGAGACGUUGAGCAUAGAACGCCAGUUUUAUGUGAGUCGCUGUUGGGAUACCACCCUUGCAGUAUUGGAUUUCUAACCAGCUGCCGUGACCCGGCAGUGGGACAAUGUCUGGCGGGGAGUUUGACUGGGGCGGUCGCCUCCGAAAGGGUAUCGGAGGCGCUCAAAGGUUCCCUCAGAAUGGUUGGAAACCAUUCGAAGAGUGCAAAGGCAGAAGGGAGCUUGACUGCGACACCGACGGGUGGAGCAGGUACGAAAGUAGGACUUAGUGAUCCGGUGGUAUAAAGUGGGAUUGCCAUCGCUCAACGGAUAAAAGCUACCCUGGGGAUAACAGGCUUAUCACUCCCAAGAGUUCACAUCGACGGAGUGGUUUGGCACCUCGAUGUCGGCUCAUCGCAUCCUGGGGCUGUAGUAGGUCCCAAGGGUUGGGCUGUUCGCCCAUUAAAGCGGUACGCGAGCUGGGUUCAGAACGUCGUGAGACAGUUCGGUCCCUAUCUGUCGUGGGCGAAGGAUAUUUGAAAGGAGCUGUCCCUAGUACGAGAGGACCGGGAUGGACGCACCUCUGGUGCACCAGUUGUCACGCCAGUGGCACAGCUGGGCAGCUAAGUGCGGAUCGGAUAAACGCUGAAAGCAUCUAAGCGUGAAGCCGUCCUUAAGAUAAGAUAUCCCACUUUUAAGUUAAGACCCCUUGUAGACUACGAGGUUGAUAGGUCUAAGGUGUAAGUUGUGUGAGCAAUUUAGCCAGCAGAUACUAAUCGGUCGAGGGCUUAAACCU